ACGCUCGACACCUACGGGAGCCAGCAGUGGGGAAUAUUGGGCAAUGGGCGAAAGCCUGACCCAGCAACGCCGCGUGAGGGAAGAAGGUUUUCGGAUUGUAAACCUCUGUCCUCAGGGACGAAGGACGUGACGGUACCUGAGGAGGAAGCCCCGGCUAACUACGUGCCGGCAGCCGAGGUAAUCUGAGCGGGCUGGCAAGGC
RNAcentral lists this ribosomal RNA (201 nucleotides) under uncultured bacterium. Its description in RNAcentral is "partial 16S ribosomal RNA". It matches the Rfam family "Bacterial small subunit ribosomal RNA", at positions 328 to 539 of the family's 1533-position model. The record is from RNAcentral.